CCCUCAUUAACAUUAUAAGAAUCCUAAAGAAAGAGACAGAGAGAGAGGCGGGAGAGAGAGAGCGGGGGGGAGAAAAAAGAGAGAGAGAGAGAGAGAGAGGGGGGUGAGAGAGAGGGUGGAGAAAAAGAGAGCGAGAGACAGAGGGGUAAGAGAGAAGGGGGGAGAAAAAGAGAGAGAGAGAGACAGAGGGAUAGAUGCCUUAAAGCUAGAUAGAUAGAUAGAUAGAUAGAUAGAUAGAUAGAUAGAUAGAUAGAUAGAUAGAUAGAUAGAUAGAUAGAUAGAUAGAUAGAUAGAUAGAUAGAUAGAUAGAUAGAUAGAUGCCAGAGGUGUUAUUCAUUAUAGUGACUACAGCAGUCUGCCAGAGAUGUUAUUCAUUAUAGUGACUACAGCAGUCUGCCAAGGAUGUUAUUCAUUCUAGUGACUACAGCAGUCUGCCAGAGAUGUUAUUCAUUCUAGUGACUACAGCAGUCUGCCGAGGAUGUUAUUCAUUCUAGUGACUACAGCAGUCUGCCAGAUGUUAUUCAUUAUAGUGACUACAGCAGUCUGCCGAGGAUGUUAUUCAUUCUAGUGACUACAGCAGUCUGCUGAGGAUGUUAUUCAUUCUAGUGACUACAGCAGUCUGCCAGAGAUGUUAUUCAUUCUAGUGACUACAGCAGUCUGCCGAGGAUGUUAUUCAUUCUAGUGACUACAGCAGUCUGCCGAGGAUGUUAUUCAUUCUAGUGACUACAGCAGUCUGUCAGAGAUGUUAUUCAUUCUAGUCACUACAGCAGUCUGCCGAGGACGUUAUUCAUUCUAGUGACUACAGCAGUCUGCCAGAGAUGUUAUUCAUUCUAGUGACUACAGCAGUCUGUCAGAGAUGUUAUUCAUUAUAGUGACUACAGCAGUCUGCCAGAGAUGUUAUUCAUUCUAGUGACUACAGCAGUCUGCUGAGGAUGUUAUUCAUUCUAGUGACUACAGCAGUCUGCCGAGGAUGUUAUUCAUUCUAGUGACUACAGCAGUCUGCCAGAGGUGUUAUUCAUUCUAGUGACUACAGCAGUCUGGCAGAGAUGUUAUUCAUUAUAGUGACUACAGCAGUCUGCCGAGGAUGUUAUUCAUUCUAGUGACUACAGCAAUCUGCCGAGGAUGUUAUUAAUUCUAGUGACUACAGCAGUCUGCCAGAGGGUUUAUUAAUUCUAGUGACUACAGCAGUCUGCCAGAGGGUUUAUUAAUUCUAGUGACUACAGCAGUCUGCCAGAGGGUUUAUUCAUUGUAGUGACUACAGCAGUCUGGCAGAGAUGUUAUUCAUUCUAGUGACUACAGCAGUCUGCCAGAGGGUUUAUUCAUUGUAGUGACUACAGCAGUCUGCCAGAGAUGUUAUUCAUUCUAGUGACUACAGCAGUCUGCCAGAGGGUUUAUUCAUUCUAGUGACUACAGCAGUCUGCCAGAGAUGUUAUUCAUUCUAGUGACUACAGCAGUCUGCCAGAGGGUUUAUUCAUUCUAGUGACUACAGCAGUCUGCCAGAGAUGUUAUUCAUUCUAGUGACUACAGCAGUCUGCCAGAGAUGUUAUUCAUUGUAGUGACUACAGCAGUCUGCUGAGGAUGUUAUUCAUUCUAGUGACUACAGCAGUCUGCCAGAGAUGUUAUUCAUUCUAGUGACUACAGCAGUCUGCCAGAGAUGUUAUUCAUUCUAGUGACUACAGCAGUAUGCUGAGGAUGUUAUUCAUUCUAGUGACUACAGCAGUCUG
Molecule: long non-coding RNA, 1724 nt
Filed under: Salmo salar (Atlantic salmon)
Lineage: Eukaryota; Metazoa; Chordata; Actinopteri; Salmoniformes; Salmonidae
Description: lncRNA (ENSSSAG00000114301.1)
Source: RNAcentral